UACGUAGGGACCGAGCGUUGUCCGGAAUCAUUGGGCGUAAAGAGCGUGUAGGCGGCCUGCUAAGUCCUGCGUGAAAUCUCGGGGCUCAACCCCGAGCGGUCGUGGGAAACUGGCAGGCUAGAGUGCGGGAGAGGAGAGUGGAAUUCCUGGUGUAGCGGUGAAAUGCGCAGAUAUCUGGAGGAACACCGGUGGCGAAGGCGGCAUCCUGGACCGGCAUUGACGCUGAGGAGCGAAAGCCAGGGGAGCAAACGGG
This 253-nucleotide ribosomal RNA is filed under the name uncultured bacterium. RNAcentral's name for it is "partial 16S ribosomal RNA". It matches the Rfam family "Bacterial small subunit ribosomal RNA", at positions 524 to 776 of the family's 1533-position model. The record is from RNAcentral.